The sequence is a transfer RNA, 116 nucleotides long. It matches the Rfam family "tRNA". Rfam says of the family: Transfer RNA (tRNA) molecules are approximately 80 nucleotides in length.
GGCUGGAUGGUGUAGUUGGUUAUCACGUAUCGCUCACAAAGCUAGCCGACAAGCGAAAGCUUAGUCAGUUACUACAUGUGCCGAUAAGGUCCUGGGAUCGAACCCCAGUCUAGUCA